AGUAAGACUCGGGUGGGAAAGCUG
This 24-nucleotide non-coding RNA is filed under the name Cricetulus griseus (Chinese hamster). The record is from RNAcentral. Lineage: Eukaryota; Metazoa; Chordata; Mammalia; Rodentia; Cricetidae.